RNAcentral lists this ribosomal RNA (328 nucleotides) under uncultured Bacillota bacterium. RNAcentral's name for it is "bacterial SSU rRNA". It matches the Rfam family "Bacterial small subunit ribosomal RNA", at positions 28 to 351 of the family's 1533-position model. The record is from RNAcentral. Lineage: Bacteria; Bacillati; Bacillota.
GAUGAACGCUGGCGGCGUGCUUAACACAUGCAAGUCGAACGAAGGUCAGAGAGCUUGCUCUCUGAUACUUAGUGGCGGACGGGUGAGUAACGCGUGGGUAACCUGCCCUAUGCAGGGGGAUAACGUUUGGAAACGAACGCUAAUACCGCAUAAACUAUGGAUGUCUGCAUGGACAUUAUAGCAAAGAUUUAUCGGCAUAGGAUGGACCCGCGUUGGAUUAGCUAGUUGGUGAGAUAACAGCUCACCAAGGCGACGAUCCAUAGCCGGCCUGAGAGGGUGAACGGCCACAUUGGGACUGAGACACGGCCCAAACUCCUACGGGAGGCUG